UUUCUGUGAUGAAUCAAACUUGUUCACUAUGACUUGCACAAUUAAAAGAUAUGAACACCUGAGAAAC
Erinaceus europaeus (western European hedgehog) is the source of this 67-nucleotide non-coding RNA. The record is from Rfam. NCBI's taxonomy places the organism in Eukaryota, Metazoa, Chordata, Mammalia, Eulipotyphla, Erinaceidae.